CCUACGGGAGGCAGCAGUGGGGAAUAUUGGACAAUGGGGGCAACCCUGAUCCAGCCAUGCCGCGUGUGUGAAGAAGGCCCUCGGGUUGUAAAGCACUUUCAGUGAGGAAGAACGCCUGGUGGUUAAUACCCAUCAGGAAAGACAUCACUCACAGAAGAAGCACCGGCUAACUCCGUGCCAGCAGCCGCGGUAAUACGGAGGGUGCGAGCGUUAAUCGGAAUUACUGGGCGUAAAGCGCGCGUAGGUGGCUUGAUAAGCCGGUUGUGAAAGCCCCGGGCUCAACCUGGGAACGGCAUCCGGAACUGUCAAGCUAGAGUGCAGGAGAGGAAGGUUGAAUUCCCGGUGUAGCGGUGAAAUGCGUAGAGAUCGGGAGGAAUACCAGUGGCGAAGGCGGCCUUCUGGACUGACACUGACACUGAGGUGCGAAAGCGUGGGUAGCAAACAGGAUUAGAUACCCUUGUAGUC
RNAcentral lists this ribosomal RNA (465 nucleotides) under Vreelandella stevensii. Its description in RNAcentral is "partial 16S ribosomal RNA". It matches the Rfam family "Bacterial small subunit ribosomal RNA", at positions 338 to 795 of the family's 1533-position model. Lineage: Bacteria; Pseudomonadati; Pseudomonadota; Gammaproteobacteria; Oceanospirillales; Halomonadaceae. The record is from RNAcentral.